This is an RNA transcript of Ipomoea nil (Japanese morning glory), 667 nucleotides long. RefSeq lists it as uncharacterized. The record is from RefSeq and is a predicted model, not a curated record. The transcript has 3 exons. Lineage: Eukaryota; Viridiplantae; Streptophyta; Magnoliopsida; Solanales; Convolvulaceae.
ACAGAUUCAACUUCAAUUCUUCAAACACUUCUCGUCCAGUCUUCCGCCAUUAAUUCCGGCAAUCCUCUCUUCACCGGAUUAUUCAGAAGUUACUGAAGAGUAGAGUUUUAUGAUGGGCACAGAAGAGCCAAAAGAUCCACUGAAAGAUAUUGAGUGGAAAAGUAUGGCUGAGCCUUCACAUAGCGAGUCCGGUGUUGGACCGACAGUGAAGAAGAGACUCCCGAAGAAAAUUAGGCAAAUCCCGGAAUGUUAUUUUCUUCCUCGAUCGUCCUUACCAUCAGCUAUAGCUUUUUACGGGUCCUGUAUUGCUGCUGGGAUUGGGGCUGGGAUGCUGCUAGAAGUGUGGAUAAACAAGAAGAUCAAAGAGGAUGGUGGAGUGAUCUGGGAGUUUGACAAAUGAAUUUAUUCAUGUCUCUGCAUUCAUCUCCAAUAAGUUGCUGUUCUUUUGCUACCCAUAUUUUAUCAUUGUAUUUUUUGGCAAGCUCGUCGACAAUUUAUAGUUUAUUAUGGAAUAGCUUUCAUGUUUGUAUUGACACAAGUGCAUAAAUGGAUCAAUAUUAUCUCUAGUAUUAGUCAGGUCACCCCCUUGUUCCCUGUCUAAGAAUGUAUGGACAAGUUUCAAACAGAAUUGUAUUGUGAUCUCCUAAUCAAACCAUAUUAUCUUGCC